UACGUAGGGCGCAAGCGUUGUCCGGAAUUAUUGGGCGUAAAGAGCUCGUAGGCGGCUUGUCGCGUCGGUUGUGAAAGCCCGGGGCUUAACCCCGGGUCUGCAGUCGAUACGGGCAGGCUAGAGUGUGGUAGGGGAGAUCGGAAUUCCUGGUGUAGCGGUGAAAUGCGCAGAUAUCAGGAGGAACACCGGUGGCGAAGGCGGAUCUCUGGGCCAUUACUGACGCUGAGUGAGCGAAAGCCAGGGGAGCAAACGGG
This 254-nucleotide ribosomal RNA is filed under the name uncultured bacterium. RNAcentral describes it as "partial 16S ribosomal RNA". It matches the Rfam family "Bacterial small subunit ribosomal RNA", at positions 524 to 776 of the family's 1533-position model. The record is from RNAcentral.